This 170-nucleotide unclassified non-coding RNA is filed under the name uncultured Geminibasidium. RNAcentral's name for it is "sequence contains ITS1". Lineage: Eukaryota; Fungi; Basidiomycota; Geminibasidiomycetes; Geminibasidiales; Geminibasidiaceae. The record is from RNAcentral.
GUGAAUUUGUAGCCUUCAAGGCUCACAUUCUCUAUCCUUUACACACCUGUGCACCCUUCUGAAGCGGAGAGUUAUUAGGCAUCAGCCGAGCGCCUCCCUUCGGUUAUUAUAUCAAACUCUAUAUUUAUUUUUGUUUUACUGUAUAUUGUCUGAGUACUAUAUAAUAGUUA